Molecule: ribosomal RNA, 253 nt
Filed under: uncultured bacterium
Lineage: Bacteria
Description: partial 16S ribosomal RNA
Rfam family: Bacterial small subunit ribosomal RNA
Source: RNAcentral
UACGGGGGGGGCAAGCGUUGUUCGGAAUUACUGGGCGUAAAGGGCUCGUAGGCGGCCAACUAAGUCAGACGUGAAAUCCCUCGGCUUAACCGGGGAACUGCGUCUGAUACUGGAUGGCUUGAGGUUGGGAGAGGGAUGCGGAAUUUCAGGUGUAGCGGUGAAAUGCGUAGAUAUCUGGAGGAAUACCGGUGGCGAAGGCGGCAUCCUGGACCAUUACUGACGCUGAGGCGCGAAAGCUAGGGGAGCAAACGGG